GAUGAACGCUGGCGCCGUGUUUAACACAUGCAAGUCGAGCGAAGCACUUUUGCGGAUCUCUUCGGAUUGAAGCAACUGUGACUGAGCGGCGGACGGGUGAGUAACGCGUGGGUAACCUGCCUCAUACAGGGGGAUAACAGUUGGAAACGGCUGCUAAUACCGCAUAAGCGCACAGUACCGCAUGGUACCGUGUGAAAAACUCCGGUGGUAUGAGAUGGACCCGCGUCUGAUUAGCUAGUUGGUGGGGUAACGGCCUACCAAGGCGACGAUCAGUAGCCGACCUGAGAGGGUGACCGGCCACAUUGGGACUGAGACACGGCCCAAACUCCUACGGGAGGCAGCAGUGGGGAAUAUUGCACAAUGGGGGAAACCCUGAUGCAGCGACGCCGCGUGAGCGAUGAAGUAUUUCGGUAUGUAAAGCUCUAUCAGCAGGGAAGAAAAUGACGGUACCUGACUAAGAAGCCCCGGCUAACUACGUGCCAGCAGCCGCGGUAAUACGUAGGGGGCAAGCGUUAUCCGGAUUUACUGGGUGUAAAGGGAGCGUAGACGGCAUGGCAAGCCAGAUGUGAAAGCCCGGGGCUCAACCCCGGGACUGCAUUUGGAACUGUCAGGCUAGAGUGUCGGAGAGGAAAGCGGAAUUCCUAGUGUAGCGGUGAAAUGCGUAGAUAUUAGGAGGAACACCAGUGGCGAAGGCGGCUUUCUGGACGAUGACUGACGUUGAGGCUCGAAAGCGUGGGGAGCAAACAGG
This 748-nucleotide ribosomal RNA is filed under the name uncultured bacterium. RNAcentral describes it as "bacterial SSU rRNA". It matches the Rfam family "Bacterial small subunit ribosomal RNA", at positions 28 to 776 of the family's 1533-position model. The record is from RNAcentral.